RNAcentral lists this ribosomal RNA (448 nucleotides) under uncultured bacterium. Its description in RNAcentral is "bacterial SSU rRNA". It matches the Rfam family "Bacterial small subunit ribosomal RNA", at positions 329 to 792 of the family's 1533-position model. The record is from RNAcentral.
ACCCAGACUCCUACGGGAGGCAGCAGUGGGGAAUAUUGGGCAAUGGGCGCAAGCCUGACCCAGCAACGCCGCGUGAAGGAAGAAGGCUUUCGGGUUGUAAACUUCUUUUCUCAGGGACGAAGCAAGUGACGGUACCUGAGGAAUAAGCCACGGCUAACUACGUGCCAGCAGCCGCGGUAAUACGGAGGAUGCGAGCGUUAUCCGGAUUUAUUGGGUUUAAAGGGUGCGUAGGCGGAAUGCCAAGUCAGCGGUAAAAUCGGGGGGCUCAACCUCGCGCCGCCGUUGAAACUGGCGUUCUUGAGUGGGCGAGAAGUAUGCGGAAUGCGUGGUGUAGCGGUGAAAUGCAUAGAUAUCACGAAGAACUCCGAUUGCGAAGGCAGCCUACUAAACUGCCACUGACAUUGAUGCUCGAAAGUGUGGGUAUCAAACAGGAUUAGAUACCCCAGUA